AUUGAACGCUGGCGGCAGGCUUAACACAUGCAAGUCGAGCGGGGUGAUGGUGCUUGCACUAUCACUUAGCGGCGGACGGGUGAGUAAUGCUUAGGAAUCUGCCUAUUAGUGGGGGACAACAUCUCGAAAGGGAUGCUAAUACCGCAUACGUCCUACGGGAGAAAGCAGGGGAUCACUUGUGACCUUGCGCUAAUAGAUGAGCCUAAGUCGGAUUAGCUAGUUGGGGGGGUAAAGGCCUACCAAGGCGACGAUCUGUAGCGGGUCUGAGAGGAUGAUCGGCAACACUGGGACUGAGACACGGGCCAUAUGCCUACGGGAGGCAGCAGUGGGGAUAAUUGGACAAUGUGGGGAACCCCGAUCCAGCCAUGCCGGGUGUGUUAAGAAGGCCUUAUGGUUGUAAAGCACUUUAAGCGAGGAGGAGGCUCUUUUGGUUAAUACCCAAGAUGAGUGGACGUUACUCGCAGAAUAAGCACCGGCUAACGCUGUGCCAGCCGCCGCAGUAA
RNAcentral lists this ribosomal RNA (503 nucleotides) under uncultured bacterium. RNAcentral describes it as "partial 16S ribosomal RNA". It matches the Rfam family "Bacterial small subunit ribosomal RNA", at positions 30 to 523 of the family's 1533-position model. The record is from RNAcentral.